This 390-nucleotide ribosomal RNA is filed under the name uncultured bacterium. RNAcentral describes it as "bacterial SSU rRNA". It matches the Rfam family "Bacterial small subunit ribosomal RNA", at positions 28 to 417 of the family's 1533-position model. The record is from RNAcentral.
GACGAACGCUGGCGGCGUGCUUAACACAUGCAAGUCGAACGGAAAGGCCCUGCUUUUGUGGGGUGCUCGAGUGGCGAACGGUGAGUAACACGUGAGUAACCUGCCCUUGACUUUGGGAUAACUUCAGGAAACUGGGGCUAAUACCGGAUAGGAGCUCCUGCUGCAUGGUGGGGUUGGAAGGUUUCGGCGGUUGGGGAUGGACUCGCGGCUUAUCAGCUUGUUGGUGGGGUAGUGGCUUACCAAGGCUUUUGACGGGUAGCCGGCCUGAGAGGGUGACCGGCCACAUUGGGACUGAGAUACGGCCCAGACUCCUACGGGAGGCAGCAGUGGGGAAUAUUGCACAAUGGGCGGAAGCCUGAUGCAGCAACGCCGCGUGCGGGAUGACGGCCU